RNAcentral lists this unclassified non-coding RNA (399 nucleotides) under uncultured fungus. Its description in RNAcentral is "partial contains small subunit ribosomal RNA, internal transcribed spacer 1, and 5.8S ribosomal RNA". The stretch from base 1 to 73 matches the Rfam family "Eukaryotic small subunit ribosomal RNA", at positions 1759 to 1831 of the family's 1831-position model. Lineage: Eukaryota; Fungi. The record is from RNAcentral.
CCAAACUUGGUCAUUUAGAGGAAGUAAAAGUCGUAACAAGGUCUCCGUUGGUGAACCAGCGGAGGGAUCAUUACUGAGUUAUCAAAACUCCAAACCCUUUGUGAACCUUACCGUCGUUGCCUCGGCGUGAGCUACGGCUACCCUGUAACUACCCUGGAGCUACCCUAGAGUUACCCUAUAGCUACCCUGCACUUACCCUGCAGCUACCCUAUAGCUACCCUAUAGCUACCCUAUAGCUACCCUAGAGCUACCCUGGAGCUACCCUGUAGUCGGCUUCGGCCCGCCGAAGGACCGUUAAACUCUUGUUUUUUUACCACUGUUUCUCUGAAUUUUAAACUAAAAUUAGUUAAAACUUUCAACAACGGAUCUCUUGGUUCUGGCAUCGAUGAAGAACGCAGC